UACGGAGGGUCCGAGCGUUAUCCGGAUUUAUUGGGCUUAAAGGGUGCGUAGGCGGCCUAUUAAGUCAGGGGUGAAAGACGGUAGCUUAACUAUCGCAGUGCCUUUGAUACUGAUAGGCUUGAAUGUACUUGAGGUAGGCGGAAUGUGACAAGUAGCGGUGAAAUGCAUAGAUAUGUCACAGAACACCAAUUGCGAAGGCAGCUUACUAAAGUAUGAUUGACGCUGAGGCACGAAAGCGUGGGGAGCAAACAGG
This 253-nucleotide ribosomal RNA is filed under the name uncultured bacterium. RNAcentral's name for it is "partial 16S ribosomal RNA". It matches the Rfam family "Bacterial small subunit ribosomal RNA", at positions 524 to 776 of the family's 1533-position model. The record is from RNAcentral.